Long non-coding RNA from Solanum lycopersicum (tomato), 2590 nucleotides. RefSeq lists it as uncharacterized. The record is from RefSeq and is a predicted model, not a curated record. Lineage: Eukaryota; Viridiplantae; Streptophyta; Magnoliopsida; Solanales; Solanaceae.
GAAAAAAAAAUGACAAAACCCUUCUCUCUCCCUUUUUCCCAUUUUCCUGCCGAGCCGCCUCCUUUCCAAUCUUCCUCCCUCUUCUCUCACCCCUUCCCCCUCCCUUUCGUGCCUUCCUCUCCCAGCAGCCCCUGCCCCUUCCUCUCCUUCUCCAGCAGCCCGUUCCCCUUCCUCCAAACACCCCCCAGCCGCCUCUCACCCUCCCUCUUCCUCUUCUCCCUUCCCCCUCUAUCUCCAGUCAUCCCCUUCCUCUUCCUCUCCCCUUCCCCUUAUCUCUCCUUCUUUCCUCUUCCAGCCGCCUUCCUCUUUCUUCCUCCCCUUCUCACUCCUCCAGCCACCACCCAAUCGUUCCUCCAUACAAAAACCAACAAACCCCCAAACCCCAUCUCCUUCUCCCUCCGACCAGCCAUCACCCAUAUCGCCACUCUCCCGCAAAAUGGCUCCAAAGAGGGGUGUUGUAGUAUCACCAAAGAAGGAGGCGACGGAAGACGAGAUAAAGAGAGAGUCGGCGGUGAAUUUUGAGCAAGCAUGAGGGCAAAGCUAAAGAAACAGCACCGCCAGUCCCCUCCCCUUACCCUUUUACGUUUUUUUUUGUUAUAUUUGCAGGUCCAACAGCUCCCACAUGUUGCCCUAUCUCCAAACUCGUUGCUCUCCACCAGCAACUCCAAGCUCAGGCGAAGUAACACGAACCAGCAAUCCAACAACCCAAACACCACGACAAAAUUCAAUCGCGGGUUAGCGCAUAAUUUCGUAUAAGUUUAGCUAGUUUUGUGUGAUUUGGUGUUUGAAAAAUUGUGAAAUUGGCCAAUGAGAAAACUAUCCGUCGAUUUUGGAGGUCUUCCCAUUUUAAAAAGACGGAAUUUUAAUUCAAGUUUAUGUAUUUUAUAUGUUGAAAUUGGCCAAUGAAAAAUAUAUCCAUUGGGUUUAGAGGCCUUUUCCAUUUUCAAAGAAUGAAAUUUUUAGUUUAAGUUCAUAUAAAUUGUUUGUCAAAAUUGUUGAAAGGGGCCAAUGAGAAAACUCUCCAUCGGUUUUGGAGGCCUCCCCAAUAUUAUAAGACGGAAAAUCUAAUUUAAGUUUAUAUAUAAUUUCAGUUGUUGGAAUUGGCCGAUGGAGAAAUUAUCGUCGAUUUCCAAGGCUCCCAUUUUAAUAAGACGGAUUUUUAUUUUUAAGUUAUUAUUUGAGUUAUUCAUUUUUAUAUAUAUUUAUUUGGUACUAACUCUUUUACUAAGUGACUCUACAGGUACUCCUUGAAAUUAUUCGAAUAUAGUUCGAAUCAUACUUUUAAUAUCAUUAUCUUGUGAAUAUUGAUGUUAGGCAAACUUUAGGCCGACUAUUAUUUUAUUUUAUUUUGUAUAUUGUAUGUUUAUUAUAUAUGUACAUUAUUUUAUAUUCUUCCUCAAUUUGAAAAAAAAUUCAUUCGGGAACCACAGUUGUGGAUUCCGAAGGGUGCCUAACCCCUUCCCUUCGGAAUAACUUGAACUCCUUACCUAGAAUCAAUUUGGUUUUGUAGAUUAAUAAUUGUUUCCUAGUUUUCCUAAAAUUAGGUGGCGACUCUUUUUAAAACUCUUUUAUUUUUAAAACUUUGUUAAAAUUGAAUCAAUUAAUUAUUUUCAAGUUGCCGCGACGUUUUGCCCUAUUUUGACUGAAUAGGGAUGUAAACAGAAUGGUGACUUUGCUGGGGAUUUUAGAGGUUUUAUCCAAUAUGGAUUUUAUUUUUUUUCAAAUUGAGGAAAUUUUUGUUUUAUUGUUAUGUUAUACCUUGUAUUUUUAUAUUUCACUGAUUAUUUAUUUAUUUUAUUGUGUGUAUAUUUUUCAUUGCAUUCAUGACAUCAUCUAAUAUGUAUGCAUAGUAUAUUAAAGGAUGGUUUGCGGAACCGCAACCGAAAUUUAAAAUACUCAAUUCUUUUUCGGAAUUAUCGGUAAUUUAUAUGGUUGUCGUGAAUUCCAACAUAAGUUGUCCGCUUGGGUUCCCGGUCUUUCAAAAGCCACUCUUAGUCAACUAGGAUAGAGCUAAACCAAAUUCCGAAUUUAGAGCAUACUAACUAAGUUGACCCAACACCCAAAGCGUGUUGUGCUCAUUAGAAGACCACCCUGAGUCCAAAAUGGCUCACGGCCUAAAUUGAUGUUCAUACUUAUGUGUUUAAAUUUGAAGGAUGUAUACGUUGUUUGAGAAAAUAAUUUUCUCAUAGGUAGGGAUUACAUUAUAGUUUAUAUAAGUUAAAGAAAGAGCUUCACAAGCUACUAGCCUAUUCGAAGAUGUUGGCACCCGAAGAUUACAAAAAGUCAAGAAAGAAGAAGGAUCUUUCGUCGAGGCAUAGUUUAGGGUCAUACCCCUGCGUGUUACAGAUUAUUUUGUAUACAUUUCCCCUAUUAUGUAUUCCCAUUAAGUUUUAUUCAUAAAAAAAUUGUAUAAAUUUGAGUUUUGGGGGCAACGAAAUAUUUCAAAUGACGUGUACAUCCUUCAAAUAGAUAGGUCUACCCUAGGCAUAAAAGGGUUACAUAUUUGUAUAGGACGCGCAAUAAUUGUUUGUAUACUAUGUGAUAUAUUCAGUUUGUCUUUAAUUAAAACAGUAUUUAUGUGUUUUAUUCA